Peromyscus eremicus (cactus mouse) is the source of this 521-nucleotide long non-coding RNA. RefSeq lists it as uncharacterized. The transcript has 3 exons. The record is from RefSeq and is a predicted model, not a curated record. Lineage: Eukaryota; Metazoa; Chordata; Mammalia; Rodentia; Cricetidae.
GAGGGACCUAGGGCUUCUCCACUCUCUCCAGAUGGACAACCUGUGGCUCAGCAGGCACGAAGUGGAAGCUAGAACAUUCCAGCUUCUAGAGGGAGGCAGGAGGCGGCACACAACCAACGGGACAGUAUCAGACACAAAUUCAGAGAAGGGAAUGAGUGUGAAGAGCACUGACUGGCGAGAACAGCACGAUCAAAGAAAGCCUCGCUGAUGACUUCGUGUUUGAACAGACACCUGUCGGGUCGAGGCUCCCAGGCGGGGGAGGGGCACCCAGAGCCAGGAAGUGGCCAAAAACAAGAAUCACCUCAUCUGGAUUCCUCCAACAAACUGAGUUCUACCUCACUUAGAAGGUCCUGCUGGCUUCCAGAACAUCCUCUCAGCCAGUCUGAACAAUGCCAUGCCUGUCGGUUGCUGCCACUCGGCUCCAACCCAUCUCUACCUUUUUUGUCACUAUGUAGACCAAGCUGGCCUUGAACUCAUGGAGACCCUCCUGUCUCUGUCUCUGAAGUGCUGUGAUUAAAGGC